RNAcentral lists this ribosomal RNA (253 nucleotides) under uncultured bacterium. Its description in RNAcentral is "partial 16S ribosomal RNA". It matches the Rfam family "Bacterial small subunit ribosomal RNA", at positions 524 to 776 of the family's 1533-position model. The record is from RNAcentral.
UACGUAGGGGGCAAGCGUUAUCCGGAUUUACUGGGUGUAAAGGGAGCGUAGACGGUAGUGCAAGUCUGGAGUGAAAGGCGGGGGCCCAACCCCCGGACUGCUCUGGAAACUGUGCGACUAGAGUGCAGGAGAGGUGAGUGGAAUUCCUAGUGUAGCGGUGAAAUGCGUAGAUAUUAGGAGGAACACCAGUGGCGAAGGCGGCUUACUGGACUGUAACUGACGUUGAGGCUCGAAAGCGUGGGGAGCAAACAGG